GAACGCAUAUUGCGCUCUUUGGUAUUCCGAAGAGCAUGCUUGUUUGAGUAUCAGUAAACACCUCAAAAGAUUUUCUUUAUUGAAAUGAUUUUGGACUUGAGCAAUCCCAACACCAGUCUUCACGGAUCGGUGGAGGGUUGCUUGAAAUGCAGGUGCAGCUGGACAUUCUCCUGAGCUAAAAGCAUAUCUAUUUAGUCCCGUCAAACGGAUUAUUACUUUUGCUGCAGCUAACAUAAAGGGAGUUUGACCAUUUUGGCUGACUGAUGCAGGAUUUCACAAGGGUCGGUAAAACGAUUUUUGUAAAACUCGAUCUCAAAUCAAGUAAGACUACCCGCUGAACUUAAG
This 345-nucleotide unclassified non-coding RNA is filed under the name uncultured fungus. RNAcentral describes it as "sequence contains 5.8S rRNA gene". The stretch from base 1 to 53 matches the Rfam family "5.8S ribosomal RNA", at positions 102 to 154 of the family's 154-position model. The record is from RNAcentral. Lineage: Eukaryota; Fungi.